CGCGGUCCUGCUCCUUGUUCUGAUAUUGAUGAUUAUCGUCGGACUGCUGCUGUUGUACCAAUGUCACCAUGCCCAUGCACUAUAUGGAGACCAUAAGUUUCUUUACAUAUUGGGGUUGUUUUAGUAAAAUGACCAUUAUAUAUCUGUAAUAGCAACAAGUAACAAUAAUUUUGAAUUAUGUUUCUACAUAUUUAUUGGGGAUUACAUCAAUUAUAAUGAGGCGAUAAAAAGAAUAUGAAUGUAAGAUGAGUGUCCUUCAACUAUAAAAAGAUCUAUAACGAAUUGAUUUCUUAGUAAAGUAUGUAUAAUUAUGAACCGAUCUAAACAAUACAUAGCACGCGUAUACGUGAACUAUACUCGUUAUAAUAUCAUAUUCAUUGGUAUCGUUAUCGAUAUAAGUAUAUAUCGCAAUGGGAAAUUUUUAAUUAGUUAUAACUAAUUCAGAUUUGCAUUUGUGAUUUCAGUAGAUAAUUUCCUGUCAUAUAUAUCUUUUACACACAAAUUAUAUAACCAUUAUAGGAAUAAAGAGUUCAUUACGGAAGUGAAGACAUAUAUAUGCAAUACACAUCACGUUUAGAAUGGGAUCAUCAGUAAAAUAAAAUAAAACGGAGAAAGACUUCAAUCGAAGCGCAUCAGUCAUGAUCGUUAUCCGCCAAUUCAACGAUUGAUAACCAUUCGCUAAAUUAAUCCUUUGGUCACUUUGCUAACACAAAGCCCACUAUCGAUCUAUGAAGACAUCUAAGGCACUUGUUAUGGAAGAUGCUUCGCGGAAAGGAAAACUUCAUUCGAGUCAAUCCCAAGUUUUCAACACUUCGUCGAACCACUUAUUCUAUUAGAAAAUUGAAUUUUUGUUUCGCGGGAACAAAGUACGAUCCGAACACACGAAUUCAGCCGGAACCACGAUAUCUUUGUUGAUCCUACGACACUGUCAGAUAGAUAUUAGUGUGGAUGAUGACGCCAUGCGGCUGCUGAAGGACGACGCGCGCCUUGGAGGUGGAAUCGUGGAAAUGCUUGUUCUCGCGAAAGUUGCAAGAGAAUAUAUAAAGCAAAACAAAGAAAAGUAGAUAUAUGAAAACUGGUCUCUCGACAGCCUCGCGCAAUGUCCUCGUUAAUAUAAUCGAAUAACACUUUGGAUUUUCCUACCGAUACACGGAUGAUACCGCGAUGGUCACCAUGUCACGCGCAAUCUGCGUCACUUGCGAGUCGCACUGCGUAUGUAAAAAACACAAAAAAACGUUAUAUUUUAUAUAUAUGUCUAUAUAAUGUUCGACGUCCGUUAUUACCGAAGAAUGAAUAUUAUAGCUGCAGGGCGUCUCGACGCUCAUUAACGCUGUUGAUCAGAUUGUUGACGAAAUUAAAAUAUUAACUAAUGGCGGCAUUAUAUCCGUUCGAUACGACUCGUAAUAGACUGCUGUCGCGCUGUCGAACAUGCUUGGAAAUCAUUGGCCCCACUCUAUGCCUCUUUCUCUCAGCGGUGACUGUUAACGAUAUAUAAUGUGUGUCUCGCAUGUUUGUACGACAAUGUUGCUUUGUGCGAUUCUUGGGUUUUUCAUGGAGUACAUCGGAUGAAUCUGCAUCUUCUGUCCGGAUGUUCAAAGAUUUCUAACAUAUCUCAAUGACACAAAAUAUCUUUUAUAUUAUUUUUAUUGUAUAAUUUUUAACAAUCAAGAAAUAUUUUGCGCGCGCAAAAUUAUGAAAUAUAUAUUUUACACGCAAUUAUUAUAUUUAUUUCUAAUUACGAAACCGUAUAUUUUCAAAGAGUUUAAAGAUGGAGAAAGAAUAUGCAGCAAGGAAAGAAAAAAAAGUCCAUUUGUUUGUUAAACAAAAUUAUAUAUUCAAUUAUACAAUAUUAUACCAUAAAAUCGUUUUAUGUUAAAUUUAAUCGUAAAAUUGUAUCUUCUCUAAGAAGAAAACAUUUUGAUAAAUGAUCUCUGAGAAAAAAUGCAAUAGCGUGAACUUUAGAUAACAUGCGAUUUUUUUUAAAUCUCUGAUUGUGAGUAAAAUAAAAUUACGAAUUAAAAUAAAUUUAUUUGGAGUAUCGAGAUUUUGAUGUAUAAACAUCUUAUUUCGAUAUUAUACUAAAAAUAUAUUAUAUAUCGGGUAAUAUAUAUAUAAAUCGUUAAACUUAUGCGAAUAUUCGAAAUGAUCAUAACCAAUAAUAAAUGAAAAUAUGUGAUAAAUGAAUAAACACGAAUACGCACUCAUACAUAUAAAUUGAUAAUUUCUACAGUCUCAAUCAAUAUUUUUUUUUUAUGCUAUCACAUUAGUUUAUGAUAGAGGCUUUCAUAUCAUAACUGAUAUCAUAUUUAAUUUAAAUGCGCGUUGUCGCAUCAACUUUAGUUGUAUAAAAUUACAGACUACGGCUAAAAUCGAAUUUCUUAUGUAAAAAUUGAAUAUAGAAAUUAAUUUUUUUUUCAGAAAAAUAGGAAACUGCAAAAAAAUAUUUUUAAAGUGUUUAUAUUAAAUUAUCUAUUUUUUAUACAACGUAUAUAAAUAAUACUGGGAUUUUAUAAAAAUGUGGAUUGAGAGAGAGAGAGAGAGA
Long non-coding RNA from Cataglyphis hispanica, 2542 nucleotides. RefSeq lists it as uncharacterized. Lineage: Eukaryota; Metazoa; Arthropoda; Insecta; Hymenoptera; Formicidae. The transcript is spliced from 3 exons. The record is from RefSeq and is a predicted model, not a curated record.